GUACCUCCUAAUAGCUAGCCCCUCCCCCCCAAAAACAACAAACACCAUUAAUAACCCCUCACGUACAACAAAUGAUAAACAAACCAUUUUCCCUCCUCAGUAUAGGUGAUAGAAAAGGACACAUGGCGCUAUAGAGAAAGUACCGCAAGGGAACGCUGAAGAGAAGUGAAAACCCAGUUAAGAGGCAAAAAGCAGAGAAUUUCCCUCGUACCUUUUAGCAUCAUGACUUAGCUAGUAACACUCAAGCAAAAUGCCUUUUAGUUUGAGCCCCCGAAACUUAGCGAGCUACUCCAAGACAGCCUAUCUUAGGGCAAACCCGUCUCUGUUGCAAAAGAGUGGGAAGAUCUUUGAGUAGAGGUGAUAAACCUACCGAGCUUAGUUAUAGCUGGUUGCCUACGAAAUGAAUAGAAGUUCAGCCUUUACCCUUCUUUCCUCCUCCUGCACAUACUUACCCGAGACACAAAGAAGGCUUAAGAGUUAUUCGAAGGGGGAACAGCCCCCUCGAAAAAAGACACAACUUUAUUUAGCAGGUUAAAGAUUAAAAUAUCUUAGGCAGACUACCUUGGUGGGCCUAAAAGCAGCCACCCAUGCAGAAAGCGUUAAAGCUCAAGUUCUUUUCCUUCCCUAAUACCAACAACCCUAUCUUAAACCCCUUUAAUAAUAGUAGGCCUUUUCAUGCACCUAUGAAAGAGACACUGCUAAGAUGAGUAAUAAGAGGUUGCCCCUCUCCUAAACACUUGUUUACCUCAGAACGAACCCGCGCUGAGAAUUAACGCCCCCAACAAAGAGGGGCCUGGGAAAGCCAAUAGUAAUCUAGAAACUCCCCCAACACUAAGCGUUAGCCCAACACAGGUGUGUUUAAGGAAAGACUAAAAGAGAAAGAAGGAACUCGGCAAACACUGGCCUCGCCUGUUUACCAAAAACAUCGCCUCUUGCAACAAGCGUAUAAGAGGUCCCGCCUGCCCUGUGACUUAAUAGUUUAACGGCCGCGGUAUUUUGACCGUGCAAAGGUAGCGUAAUCACUUGUCUUUUAAAUGAGGACCUGUAUGAAUGGCAUAACGAGGGCUAAGCUGUCUCCUUUUUCGAGUCAAUGAAAUUGAUCUCCCCGUGCAGAAGCGGAGGAUAUAAGCAUAAGACGAGAAGACCCUAUGGAGCUUCAAACACAAUGGCAGCCCAUGUAAAACACCUGGAUGAACGGAAUUAACCAAGUGGCCUCUGCCCUUUUGUUUUUGGUUGGGGCGACCAUGGGGAAACAAACAUCCCCCACGUGGAAUGGGGCCCUCCCCCUAAAGCCAGAGCCACAGCUCUAGCUAACAGAAUAUCUGACCUUCAAGAUCCGGCAAAGCCGAUCAACGGACCGAGUUACCCUAGGGAUAACAGCGCAAUCCCCUUUUAGAGCCCAUAUCGACAAGGGGUUUACGACCUCGAUGUUGGAUCAGGACAUCCUAAUGGUGCAGCCGCUAUUAAGGGUUCGUUUGUUCAACGAUUAAAGUCCUACGUGAUCUGAGUUCAGACCGGAGAAAUCCAGGUCAGUUUCUAUCUAUGAGUAUUCUUUUCUAGUACGAAAGGACCGAAAAGGAGAGGCCCAUGCUUCAGGUAAGCCUCACCCCUACCUAAUGUAAUCAACUAAAAUAGGUAAAGGGGCACACAAGCCCUGCCUGAGAAAAGGCAA
RNAcentral lists this ribosomal RNA (1672 nucleotides) under Eucyclogobius newberryi (tidewater goby). RNAcentral describes it as "16S ribosomal RNA". The stretch from base 110 to 1561 matches the Rfam family "Bacterial large subunit ribosomal RNA". Lineage: Eukaryota; Metazoa; Chordata; Actinopteri; Gobiiformes; Gobiidae. The record is from RNAcentral.